Molecule: long non-coding RNA, 210 nt
Filed under: Zostera marina
Lineage: Eukaryota; Viridiplantae; Streptophyta; Magnoliopsida; Alismatales; Zosteraceae
Description: long non-coding RNA (ZMAR_LNC003943)
Source: RNAcentral
AGGAUCCACGCAUUCUGUCGCUUCGGCCAGAAUCAGACUCUAAACGAGUCAGUCCAUUUUGUCGCUAUGGCCUCAAUGGACCAAAGAAUUAUUUUGUCGCUUUGGCCUCAAUAAUUCUUCUAUCUUGUCGCUUUGGCCUUGAUAGAUUUGGAGAUCAUUUUGUCGCUUUGGCCUUAAUGAUCUCGACCCACUUUGUCGCUUUGGCCUUAG